ACAGUUUGAUUCUAGCUGAAAAAUUAGCUAUAUUGAACCAAUAUACAUGUAAGCUUAAACUAUCCCGCACCAGUAUUCUCCUAAAAGAUACCCAAAUUACAUCAAAUCUUUUUAUACGUAAUAGCGCGCCACAGUAAACAACCCUAAAUGUUUUGCUAAGGCAAGACAUGGCUAUCAAUUUAAGAGUUGGCAAAAUUCGUGCCAGCUGCCGCGGUUAGACGAUAAACUCAAGUUAACUAAGACACGACUAACAAUACGAUGAAUUAAAUAGUUUUCAAGGUCUAAUUUAUCAAUCUUAGAGCCCCUUUCAUCAAAAUUCUUAUAAAAACAUAAUCUAAAACACGGAUUAGAUACCCGUCUAUUCAUGUAAUAACUACAGUCGAAUAAUACGAACCACAGUUUAAAACUCAAAGAUUUUGGCGGUGUUUUAUCAAACCAGGGGAACCUGUCUCAUAACUCGAUAAUCCACGAAUACCUUACCCUUCCUAGUAAUCAGUUUGUGUACGCCGUCGUAAGCACACCUCUAAAAGUAAUUAAGUAUGCAAUCAUGACUAUUCCCAACUACGUCAGGUCAAAGUGCAGCUAAUGGAAAGGUGAUGAUGGGUUACACCCUAAAUAAAGACACGGAUUAUAUCUUAAAACAGUAUAAAAAGGUGGACUUGGACGUAAUUCUAAUCCAAAAUUUCAAUGAAGAAGAAUCUAAGACAUGCACACAUCGCCCGUCACUCUCACCUAAAGGUAAGAUAAGUCGUAACAAAGUAGGUGUAACGGAAGUUGCACCUGA
RNAcentral lists this non-coding RNA (784 nucleotides) under Eisenia nordenskioldi pallida. The record is from RNAcentral. Lineage: Eukaryota; Metazoa; Annelida; Clitellata; Crassiclitellata; Lumbricidae.